UUGGGAAUAUUGCACAAUGGGCGACAGCCUGAUGCAGCGACGCCGCGUGAAGGAAGAAGGCCUUCGGGUUGUAAACUUCUUUUUUAUGGGACGAUUGUGACGGUACCGUAAGAAUAAGGACCUGCUAACUACGUGCCAGCAGCAGCGGUAAUACGUAGGGUCCGAGCGUUGUCCGGAUUUAUUGGGCGUAAAGAGCAUGUAGGUGGUAUGGAAAGUUGGAUUUGAAAUCUCCAGGCUCAACUUGGAUUUUGGAUCCAAAACUUCCUUACUUGAGGAUGGCAGGGGCAAGCGGAAUUAGCGGAGUAGCAGUGAAAUGCGUUGAUCUCGCUAAGAACACCAAUGGCGAAGGCAGCUUGCUAGGUCAUUUCUGACACUGAGAUGCGAAAGCGUGGGGAGCGAACGGG
RNAcentral lists this ribosomal RNA (404 nucleotides) under uncultured bacterium. RNAcentral's name for it is "bacterial SSU rRNA". It matches the Rfam family "Bacterial small subunit ribosomal RNA", at positions 355 to 776 of the family's 1533-position model. The record is from RNAcentral.